CUUGAAAGUUGAGAGGGUGUCUGCCCCCCGAACCUCGAGCGGUAAAUGAUUCCAGAGGAGAGGUGCCUGGUAGCUGAAAGCUCUUCCUCCAAUACUACUUUUAGAGAUAUUUGGUACAACGAGCAGACCCGCAGACUGUGAGCGUAACGGUCUAGACGGAAAGUACGGUAUAACAUGCUCGUCGAGAUAUGAUGGAGCCUGGCCAUUAAAGGCUUUAUAUCUCACAAGGAGGAUUUUAAACUCAAUUCUAGAUUUAAUAGGGAGCCAAUGAAGAGAGGCUAAGGCAGGAGAGAUGUGCUCCCUUCUUCUGGUUCUGGUCAAUACCCGAGCUGCUGCAUUUUGGACCAGCUGAAGAGUCCUUAAAGACUUAUUGGAGCAGCCUGAUAAGAGAGAAUUACAGUAGUCCAGCCUAGAGGUAACAAAGGCAUGGACUAGUUUUUCUGCAUUACUCUGAGACAGGAUGGGUCUAAAAAAAAGCUAUUCUAGAGAUUUGUUGAAUGUGGGAGCUGAAGGACAAAUCCUGAUCAAAUAAAACUCCCAAAUUUCGCACAGUGGGGCUGGAUGCCAGACUGAGGAGGACAAGAACCCGAACAAGAACCGAGGACAAGAACUUCAGUUUUGUCUGAGUUAAGCAUCAGAAAGUUAUUGGUCAUCCUGGAUUUUAUAUCUUUUAGACAAGCUUCUAAUUUGGUAACCUGAUUUGUUUCUUCUGACUUCAUGGAUAAGUAUAACUGGGUGUCAUCUGCAUAACAGUGGAAAUUAAUCGAGUUCUUCAGUGUGCAUCUGGGUUUAAAAAUUAAAUCAGCAUGGCGUCCACCAUCAUUUGGUUCUAUAAUGUCCAUUCAAAACCAGGUGACAUGGAGAUUAUGUUCAUGUUUUUCACAGUCUAUGACCAAACCCAUUUCAAAAGUGUAUUUAAGAGCUAAACAGCUACUGAUCCAAAUAUUUACACAACAGAUUAAUCUGCCGAUUAUUUUGAUCAUCAAAUGCUGACAUGAUGUCAACAAAAUGAGAAUAUGUCAUGUAAAAAGAGUUCAACGGUGUCUCAGUAAUCAGAAUAUUUUUUUGACAAAUGGCUCCAUCGAUUGAUUGUCUAAAGAAAUGUCAUAUUUUCUAAUGACUAGCUGAAGCCAUUUUGCUGUGAUCUCAUUACAUUAUUUGCUUGCUGGGUGUGUGAACAGCAUCUUUGCAGCCAUUGUGUGUGUGUACCUUAAGCUACCCCAUAGCUGCCUUUAAGUUCACUCUUCACCUGCUUUGCUAUUUGCUCAAUGCAGAAGCAACUAUUUGUUGCUGGUAGUUUCUACAUUGAGCCACGAGCUAGGACUCAAAUCUUGCAACGAUAUCUUAUGUCUUUGAUUUUAUACCAAACACUCAGCUUUGACUGAGCUUUAAAUGGCUUUAAAUGGCGGGUGUACAGUCUUAGGUCUCAUACAGUAGUGAGAAAGUGUGGGCAUAUGAGUUUGUACAGCCUUAUUUUACACACAGAGAUGCUCACUACUAUCUCCUUACCUCAGCCUCCCAUGAGCCAAAAACAGCCUGAGACAUCACUAAACUUUCCAUCAUCUCAUGCAGAAAAAAACACAUUUAUUUUCUAAAUCCCUCAACACAACUCUCAGUGCCUCUGAUGAUGGUGUUGCCAUUUAUUAAUAAAUAUUAAAGCACACAGCACCAAAUGCAGCCAAGUGGUCCAGCUGCAGGGCAAGCAAAUAACAGUCUACUUUUUUAAUAUGCAAAAUGCAACGGAUGUUACCCAAUAAGUGGAUUGUGUCUGAUACUGUUAUAUCCAGAGUUUUAAAUAAUUGGUGAAGUUAUGCUGCAGUGGUUUGUGCAUAAAUGUUAAUCAGUUCUGCUGUAUAAAGUAACUGUUCUAGUGCAUAACACUCCAGUGAUAGAACAGCAUAGGAGAAUAAAUUUUAUGUGCUUGUGUAAGCCUGGUGUAGAAAGGUUGAAGUUUGCUGUGUGGCAAUGAGAGCAGAGACACUGAUUGGUUUGGUUUAUCUGCUGCCUAAGGGGGCUUUCACACCUACAUCGUUUGGUCUGGACUUUUGGACUUGUCUAUUAAGUCCGGACCCAAAUGAUAGGUGUGAAACCUCCCCAGGACCUUGGUCUGGACCAAACCACCGGAACGUGGUCCAACUAAAAGAGGUGGUCUCAGUUCGGACAAAACUGAACCACAUUCUGGCUCGUGCCUAGUGUGAAAGCAUUUUUUGAAAGGUUCGGACCUUCGUAUAAAGACAGGAGUACAAGUAUCCGUUAUUAUGUUGAAUGGAGAUUGUCCAAUAACAGGAAAUUUUAUAAUAUUGUAUAUAAAGUUAUACCUUACUUUUGACAGCUUGUCUUGUCAAGAGGUUUAUUACACAUAGUUUUCUCCUGAGCCAGUGUUGCAAUGACUCGCAGGAUUACACACCUUUUUAGCAAGUUAUUUUAGCACUUGCCUUGUCUGAACAAAAGUAAGGACAAGGCAAGCGCUAAAAUUACCUUUGUAAAUGUAGCCAUCUUGUUUCCUCCUCUGAUUUUGCAGGCCGCUUAACCAGCAACACAUGGGUCUGCAUGCCCACUGUGCAUCAUACACUUUAAACUGUGCUUUUUAGCUUGGUAAAAAUAAUACUGUUUGAGUACAUGUUAAAUCACUUUAAAUGUUUUUUCUUGUACUUCUAUACAAGGCUUGCAUUAGUUUGGAAAUAGCUGGAGCCACAUGGACAAGCUUGUUUAAAGGAAUAAACAAAAAGCUUUGGUUUGUUCUGGGUGGGGAGUGUAUGUGUGGAAAAAAUCCCAUAUCAUUUCUUUGAUGCCGGUCGGGAGGGAAAAACAUGCACUCACUUUCAGAAUCAAAGAAGCACCUGAAUGAAAAAUGGAGCAAGACAACGUAAACAGAUCUCGUACUCAGACGUAGAUUUGGAGAGAUUCAUAACAAAUUGUCAAAGCCAUUCAUCAUUGUUCAUGCAGAAAGAUUCCUCUGAUAAUCAUUUUAGCUAUGAAUUGUCAGAAGAUAGACAUCACUGUUAUUAAUUCCUGUGAUUUAAUAAUAUUAAACUAGCUGUUUUUUAUUUUAAAAGUUAAUUUUUCUGACAAUUAAAAUCAUCUUAACACUUUUAUUGAUGGGAAAGUGGUUUGGCUUCACAGGAGAUUGAACGAAAGCUGAAUAAAGAUGAGAGUCCACUCCACAUCUAAAAUCAGGUUAAUAUAAAAGCUAACUUUUGGCAGGAGACACCAGCAAAGCUAUCUGAGAAAUUAAUUACUCUUAAAUUUAUGUUAGAUCUCCGUGUGAUGGAGUGUGAGGCCAGAGAGAGAGGAGGAGGAGGAGGGGAGGUGUGCCGUAAUAUUUAAGAGAGAAAAACUGUCACAGACAUGUUGAAAAUAUGCAACAUUUCAGCAUAAUAGCAUCAACCUUUGGGGCAAAACUUGGUCAUAUUUGCCUGUCAUGGAACAGCUCGGCUCUGCCAUGUUUAAUUUAGGUUCAGGCUUCUCUGUGCAGGGCUUGAUAAGUGAGACUAUUAAAUAAAACUCUGCUGAACAAUGAAAGAAGUUGUCAUUUAACCAAAUGAGUAGAUGGGAGUAGGCACAGAGAGUCAGGAGGUAAAUUAUGUAUUCAUGAAGGUUCUGUAGCUACUUUAUUAGCUUUAGGCGAGACCUCAGCACCGAGCCUGUAAACCAAGUUUGACAAGCCCCCAUGUGGAGCAGCAGGCACAGGGAAUAAGCCUCUCACUGCUCAUCCCCCCAUUUUACUGCCGGGAACCGUCUGGAUCACAACAACAGUGAGUGCAACAUGAAGGAGCUGAUAUGGAGAUCAGCUCACAGGGAGGUUAAGCAUUGGGCAACCGCGUUGACUCCUCCACAUAUGCGGCUUGGUGUGAGACGUGACUUUAAAGGGAAAAAUCCUAAUGGGAGUCAAACAGCAGCUCAUGUUUUCUGAUGCCAUGUUAAGUUUCAGAGUAUUUUCCCGUAUUUUGCAGCAUAAACAUGCCUUUGAGGAGGCUGUGAUGCAGAGAGGUGUCAGGAGAUGAAACACAAACUGACAGUGACUGUAAAUUUAUUUACACUCCAUUGAGCUUCAAUUAAUAUCAGUAAUUGAGACACCUUUGAAUCAAUAAAUGUAUCCCUAACUCUGUAAAUUGACUCUGAUGCACUGAAGACGUGACAUGGAAGAUAAGUGGCUGUCUUUGGAGCGUCAGCAGAUCCCGGUUACACAGAAAAUGUGCGCUUAAGUGCUCAACAGAUAAACAGCAUAAGAGAGCACUUGUCGUAUUAAAGAUGGCUGGUCAUAAUCUCUGACAUACUUAAAAGCUCAAAACCUAUUUGCUAAAUUAAACCUGCUUCUACUGUGGUCUGGUCCAAGGGGCCCGCUCGGUACAGAAACUCCGAAAGUUUGAUCAAAAAAAAGAUGACUUCAGGCAAACACAUUAAAAGAAAACCUUGGCAAGCUCUUGCUUUUUGUGCACAAUCCAUGAAAUGUGAAAAGCGAGUGAGUUUUAAUUAUGUCCGUAAAAGUCAAAAUCAAGGUCUCCCUUUAACUAAAGCUCUGGAGUUUAGAAUUAAAAUGUCAGAAUGAGUUCAAGUAUGUUAAAGCACAAUUACAGAGGUUCAAACAUGGUCAAAUUUAUUUAUUCUUUCUUAACUUUACCUUGACCUUCCAAACUACAGUAAACUAAACCUCUUUUAUAAUUUGCAACUUUCACGUUUAUUCUUUGAAGCUCCUGUGAGGACUUUUCGGUUUGUGUCAAUUUCAUAGACUGUAUAUACUACGGACACCUUGGCUCCGCCUUCUGUCAUUAUAUGAACUUGUAGUUGAAUUGUUCUUGGUAUUUCUGGGAUUUUCUCCACUUCCUGCAACCACCACUUGCGCAGUAGCGUUGUACGCAUUUGGCGGGAGAAUUGCAGAGAGUUGCUAUGAUGACACUCGGCUCAAACAGUGUAUCCCUCGGGGGAGCUAUGCAAUCUUUGUACGCCCAUAGGCUGUAUCAAAUGGCAAUCAUAGAAAACAUGAACCCUGAUUAACUUUUAAAAAUGGGGCUGCACAGAAAAAAGAGGACUUUAGGGGCCCAUGAGAGGGUGUGCCUCACCUGUCAUCGUGGAAAGAAAAAAAUGUAAAAUGAAAAACUUAAUUGAUUAUAUUUAUCUAGUGAUUUGCACUGUAAAUCAUCACCAAGUUUUUGCAUUUGCUGUUCAAAUACUGAGAAUUGACGUGCGGUGAGGCAGCAGCCAGAUGAGCCUCACCAUGGAUUGCCCAAUGACCUGGCUGACUGUACUGGCACACUUUGCAGUGAGAACAUAUAGCUAUUUCUCUGUAUGUCGUUACUAACAUGUUCAGACAUUUUGUAAUAUCAACUGAUCCACACAGUUUAGCUGAUGUAUACAACGUACAUUUUUUUUUUUUUGUCAACAAUCAUAUGUGUUUAACAUGUUUCUUGUGCUGAGCAAUCAUAGCACAGCUAGCAAAGGCGCUACGUGAGGUACACAGUUCUCCUGCCUCAUGGAAGGGGGCACUCAUGAUCCCAGUAAUUCUUCUUGCAACUCCUCGACUGCAGAGUAAGUGACACGGUAAACUACAAUCUACAGUUAGCGAGUCAAGUGCAGCCAACUGUGUAUUUUCUCCUCUCUGCUGGCCUUACUUUCAAAAUAGAGGAUUACGUAUGUAAACUCGAACAGUUUUCUCGACCGGACUUCCAAUCGGAGCAGAAGGUAAUAAUUAAAAGAAGACCAUAAAUUAUUAUCAUUUAUAAGUAAAGGUUAGACCAUAAUAACAUUUUCUUUUAAAUAUUAAAUGUACUUUUGUGUGUGCUAGUUUGUAUGUGUAAAGACAGCUGAUAUGAGAUUUUAAUUAUAACCCGUUAACUGCUGCCAAUCGAAUGGUUAAAAAGCUCCUCUG
This 5866-nucleotide long non-coding RNA is filed under the name Xyrichtys novacula (pearly razorfish). Lineage: Eukaryota; Metazoa; Chordata; Actinopteri; Labriformes; Labridae. The record is from RNAcentral.